CGUGAGCGUCUCAAUUGAAACCUCCUGAAGAAUAGCUCAAUCAGUUCUGUAAAUUGAUUGCCCGCACACAAUAUUUUAUCCAGGACGUUAACCUCCUCUUUGAAAUCGCCUCCUAAAAUUGCUCUUUUUCUCCAUCUCCUGAAAUAGAAAUUGAAAUUGAUAAAUGAAUUUCUCAUUUAGAAUGGAUUUUCAAUUUUUAAUUUUUUAACACUCAAAUGAGAAAUUGCAUCACCACUGGCCUCUGCCCAAUCUCUUCACCACACUCCGGUCUGAUGGUCUUCCCUCUCGCGCUAACAGUCUCAAUCUCAUUCUUAAUCGCUACUUUCUGAUCGAAAGAAUCCAAAAACUGUGGCAUUUUGAAAUCGACUCAUCUUAUUCUCUGCCCGAGUCUCCUUCAAAACCCCACUUAGUGAGAGAAGCUUUUCUCAGAAGCUAGAGAGAGAAACAAAAUCAACAGAGUAGAGAGAGAGAGCUUCAAAACCCAUAACUCUUUCUCUCUUCUUUCUCUCGAGCCCCCUAUCUCUGGUUUCCCUCUCUCUUUCUCUCUCCCGAGCCCCCUAUCUCUGGUAUAUUUUAUGUCCGAAUUAUUUAUCAAUUUCUAUAUAUAUUCAUGUAUCAGAAGAUGGUUGUGUGUGCUGAUUUGAUAUGCGGUGCAAAGAUGUGGUGAACACCAUGGAAGUGGGGAACGAAGCGAUCUCAUCCAUUUGUUUAAGUCUGGUACGGAAAUGAAAACAUCAUUUAUGUUUCCUCGGGAAGUGAAGUCAAGAGCUUUGAUGUCCAUCUGGCCUUCUCUUGGAAGCCGUUGGAGACUUAUGAAUAUAAUAAGGAUGAGAUAAAUCAGAUUGCUUGCAACUUCAAGUCUUCUUUGCUUACAGCUGCAGAUGAUGGUGGCAAGAUCAUAGACAUUAGCCAGAAAUGUCUCUAUAAAACAUUGAGAGCUGGCCAUCAGGUAAGAGCAAUCCAUACUCAAAUGGUGAGAUGAAUUUUUUGCGUGAUCAGUAGAUUGAAUUCGUCUGAACACAGGACAAGAGCUAUUAUCAUGAUCAAUUUAUGUUUUUGUUUAUAUUUUACACUAUAACCAAUUACUUUCAUAUAAAGUAAGUUUGAGUACGUAGUUUGUA
Molecule: long non-coding RNA, 1121 nt
Organism: Cannabis sativa
Lineage: Eukaryota; Viridiplantae; Streptophyta; Magnoliopsida; Rosales; Cannabaceae
Exons: 6
Source: RefSeq, a predicted model, not a curated record